Molecule: long non-coding RNA, 1372 nt
Organism: Scleropages formosus (Asian bonytongue)
Lineage: Eukaryota; Metazoa; Chordata; Actinopteri; Osteoglossiformes; Osteoglossidae
Exons: 3
Source: RefSeq, a predicted model, not a curated record
CGCAGUAAAUUGCAAAUGAUAUUUCAUGGAACAAGUAACAUAUCAUAGGCGCGCGGACAUCGAUGCGCAAAAAUUCACGCACACUUCUGCUCAAAGUUAAGUCAACCUUAUGCGUCAACAUUUACCCAUUUUCGGGUUUCCAUAGCUGAACUGAAUAUAAUUUUGUAAAGACAAGCAACGUAGUAGGGUCUCGGAAGGUCUUUUGGCAUUUUUUAAUUUGAAGUUUUCACCUCGAUGCCAUGGCACUACAGUUAAUAUCCACUUCGACGAUACAUUCAGGAUUGUGUGUUUAGCACAACUAUCCUACAUUGUGACAAAUGUGCUUUUUAUCCUUUCUAACAUACACCUGAGUGCGGAAAUAUCCAACGUGUUGCCGUGGAAAAGUACAUACAAGUAUGUCCAGAUGCUUCUUCUUUCUUUGGAUUGAUGAAGACGAUGCAUACUCAUAUAUACCGUGCAUUCAGAGAGGCGGGAAGGAACAUCAUCCAGAGAUUCUUAUGACGCCCGCAACACGACUUUUUGGGCUGUAUCCGCAUCUGGACGCGCAGAAAAAGCGCCGCCGACACUCGUGUCCCCCCGUCUCGAGACGUGCACCUCUUAAUAAGCGUGGAGGGAGAGCCUCACCUCCCCAGGAAGGAGCAAGGAGCUUUUUCUCGGCAAGAAGUCCUAAUGAAGAACUCAAAAGAUCGUCACAUGCUUCAUGUGUUUAAUAUAUAUGCUACGUACAGAAAUUUAUUAUUGAUAAAAUCCUGCUUAGCGUACUAGUGUUCUAAUCUAAUGUAGUAUUUUUCAGCGUAUCGAAAAUACUCUUUCGAGGUGUAUCUACAUAAUUUAUUGUUCAUUAUUAUAUUGUAUUGUUCUGCUUUUGUUUUCCUUGAAAUACGUUUUUCAGAUUUAUUUUUGGCAGCAUACUGGAACGCUUUCUAGCGGGGCUAAAGAAUAGUGAGACAUAGUGGAAGUGUGAAAUAUCAUUAUAUGGUAAAAUAAUGGGAGCGGUAAUCCUACUUCCGGACACUCUUCUGCAGUAUUUAACAAGGUCCUCCAAAUAGGGGAUUAGCGGAUCCACAGAAAAGCUUUCCUGUUCUCUAUUCAUUCCCUUUCUUACCUUAUAAUUGUAAAACACAGUAUUGGUUCAUUUGGUACAUGAAAAGUAACCGGACGUGUGCAGAACCAUGCGUGGAAAAUAGUAAAGAAAAGCGUGUCGCGAUUAUUUCAAAAAAAAUAUGAAAAGUCGUGAGGGAAGGGGGAGGUUCAAUGAGUGUAACUUUUUUUUUUUUUGUGCGACGACUUGUGUUUGCCCAGGCGUUGCUUUCGUCUGCAUUAUUGAACAUUUGUAAGAAACUUUUAACACAUUUUCUGAUAAUAAUCAAUC